UGGUCUUGCUGUUGUGUUAUUGGUCUUGCUGUUGUGUUAUUGACAUUGCUGUUGUGUUAUUGUCUUGCUGUUGUGUUUUGAUCUUGCUGUUGUGUUAUUAGAUCUUGCUGUUGUUGUUAUUGAUCUUGCUGUAGUGUUUUUUUUCUUUCUAAUUUGUCGCUGUGAUUUGGUUUUUCUCUUGUGUUUUUCUGACUUUUCUCGCAGUUUUUUCGCAGUUCACGAGUGUCGCGUUUACGAGUCGCCGUACUCGUCGAUCGAAUCUACUGCAGCACGUGCGACAACGUUCAACCCGAGCACAACCCUCGUCCGUAUGACUCCUCCCUGGAAAGUGACAAACCCCCCAAUGAGAAGCGCCCGUGCUUGUUCAAAUGUUCUAAGCACAUGCAUUAAAAUCCUCAAACCCAAACUCCCUUCCAGUAAACCCGAACUUCAGCUGAAGUGUUAACGGCCGAGGGAAAGUCUCAGGCAGCACAAGUCCCCAGCUCCUUCCCCUUCUCAGUGAGCGCAAUAAUAACCACGCUGGCAGAGACGAAGGUUUGGAUGGCCCUGACCUUGAGCACGUACAUCGUGACUCGGCCCUCGUCCGUGCCCACAGCAGCCGCCGUUCCCUCCAAAAAUUCCCACAUUCCC
Ictalurus punctatus (channel catfish) is the source of this 630-nucleotide long non-coding RNA. Lineage: Eukaryota; Metazoa; Chordata; Actinopteri; Siluriformes; Ictaluridae. The record is from Ensembl.